Deinococcus peraridilitoris DSM 19664 is the source of this 84-nucleotide regulatory RNA element. It matches the Rfam family "Cyclic di-GMP-II riboswitch aptamer". NCBI's taxonomy places the organism in Bacteria, Thermotogati, Deinococcota, Deinococci, Deinococcales, Deinococcaceae. The record is from Rfam.
CUGACGAGGAGACGCGAAGAACCCCGCCCUUUAAUCGGGCACCUGGGACGGGGGGAGCGAGUGGUGCGACCGGCUUUUCGUCUG